AUCUGUCAGUCUCAGUUUCUCUGUUAUUUCCUAUUUUACGACUCCUGUUAGCCACAUUUCCAGAUCCCUAAAAAAUAAAAUAAAAGACCUUAUGCGAAUUUCUCCUAACAUACACAUUUUUACAAAGCCAUUUCCCGUAACAUAAUGCAUUUGUGUAUGCUAGUUUCACUGUGUGCAUUUUAAUGCGUCCUUUACCAUGGUAUAUACAGUGGUACCUCUACUUACGAACGCAAUCUGUUUUGGAGUGCCGUUUGCACCCUAAAAAGUCUGUAAGUUGAGUGCCGCUAAUGUGUGUGCACGAAGCGUGAUAGAGCACUUCUGUGCAUGCGCGCAGAUCGCGUCUGUGUGUGCACGCGCGGCGAACCCGGAAGUAAACACUUCUGGGCUUGCCGCGUUCGUAACCUGAAAAACUGCAACGUGAAGCAAACGUAACACAAGGUAUGACUGUACCUGAAAAGCACACUGCAAAAUUCAGAGAAUUGCAAAUGUCGAACAACAGCCGUGUUUCGUUUUGCGAAUCGUUUCAGAAAGUGUGCGUUUGGUAGGUUCACCUAUAAAUGCAAUCCGAACAGAAUUUAUUCCCCUGUCUCCACCUACGAACCUACAAGCAGUUCACCAUCCAACUCAGUGACAGCAGCUUAAAGGUUUUUAAAGGUUUCAUCUGAAAUUCAAGUUGCCCCAGAGGUUUUAAGUUUUCCCAGGCUCAAACAGAGGCUUUUUGGCAUUUGAAGAAGCUGGUUUGUGUUAACGGAAAGCUUCCUUCAUGGAGGUAGGGAUUGCAGACAGGCUCACAUAGAUGAAAUAGCUACUACUCCUCGAAAGCCAGCCAUCCUGACAAGAAAUGCAAGGUUUUCUGUCCCUUGUGAAAUGUAUAAAAUGGCUGCAGGCUGAAUGCUCUUGUUUGUGUAUGUGGCUGGUUUUAGUAUGAGCCUGUGUACCUCAAGACUGUGUGUUCUGUGUCAAUCUCGCACACAUCUAACAAAAAAUGGCAUUCUGUAGCCAGACCCGGGUUUCUGAUGAGUCACUUGGCUGAGUGGAAAGCCAAGAUAUGUACCCUUCAGCGACAUGAAAAGCCACAGAUAUUUUGCGGCAGAAAAGGAGGGAUCUUUCCCUCGAUGUACAGUAAGUGUUGCAAUUUGGGAGCCUUUGUAAAUAUACGGUGCAAUCCUUGACUUUCCUUGGCCUUAAAUAGAGUAAGGCCCAUGCCAAUGAGAUGCCUCAAUAAGUCAGUCAUUAUUCUUCAAAGCUGCAGCAUGAGAGAAAAUACGUCCUACUUUGAAAGGUUCUUUUUCAUUGAGAAGGCGGCCUCCUUAAGUUAGGAAUUUCUGGAAGGUGAAAAGUGUCCGAAACCAUUUUUUGACAAUCCAGUCCAAUAUAUUCUAGGGUGGGCAGCCUCCCUCCUCAUGCGUUGAGUGCUGAAGAACUUGUGGUGGGACGCCAACUCCCAUUAGCUUCAGCCUAGUACUGCUAGCUAGGGAUGAUGGGAGUUGUAGUCCAACAACAACCGAAGACCGUUUGAGAAACACUGAGCAUGUGGGAACCCUUUGGAAAGAUCAGAUGUUGGCUAGAACAAGAACCUGGUGCCUAUAGACUUGAGAAGAGUCUAACAUGAUGGCUCCGACCUGGUGGAAUGCUCUGUCCCAUGAGACCAGGGCCCUGCAGGAUUUAACUUCCUUCCUCAGGGCCUGUAAGACAGAGCUAUUUCGCCUGGUUUUCAAUUUGAACUUAGCCUGAUCUUUUAUUCCCCUUCCUUCCCCCCUCCCCUUUUUAUGAAGAUUACCCGCUCUGGGAUCCCACAGCUAAUUUUCCCCUGGUCUCCAUGCUGGCCCAAAUAGGACUAACUUAGCCAGCUAGCCCUAGUGAUCAUCUAAUGUUUAUUGGAUGGAUUUCCCCCCUAAUUUGAUUUUUGAAUUCUGAAUUUAUUGUUAUUCACGUUUCAUACUGUAUUUUAUGCUGUUUUUUGUUGCAUCAAUUAAGUGUUUUAAAUUUGUUGUUAGCCGCCCUGAGCACGGUUUUCUGAACCGGGAAGGGCAGGGUAUAAAUAAAAAUUUAUUAUUUAUUAUUAUUAUUAAUAUGGACCAGUGACUUGCAGGACCAGGCAUUGGACUUCCCAUGCCCCAACCCUUAUUGAGAGACCAAGGAGGCUGGUUUUGGGUCAAAACAGGCCACAACUUUAUUGAAUACCAAUGAAAGAGGUUUGGCUUGGGCAUGGGGCAGUCUAAAUACUUCCGGCUUGCUAAUGCCCCCUUUGCCCGUCAGGGAGGGCUCAGCCAGGUUGAAUUCCCCCGUCGGGGCCCCAGGGAAGCCGCCUCCAUCCUGCAAUGCCGCCGCACGUGAAAGGGUGAGCGGGUUUGUGGAGUGUAGAAGCAUCAGCAAGUAUUGACAUCCGGCACCUGUUUGGUCAGUGAAGCCAACCGCCAUCUUAGCUUUUCUGCUCUGCCCAAUGUGGCCUCGUUAUGGAGCAUUUUAAGAAAGGUAAAACUCAGAGGGAGGCACAACAGGGCCGCCUGACUCAAUUCACAGUGGUUCCUACCAGAAAAGGGCCCACUGCUGGGGAAUCUGUAACAUACAUUGUGUGGACUGGCGGAGUCCCCCCAACCCCAGGUGACCCCCGAGCGGAAUAAUGACUCAAGACAACGUGCUAUGAGAUUAAAAUUGGCCACAAUUUUAUUAAGUUUCAGAUUUAGGGAGACCUUGGUUCAGGCACUGGGCGUUUAUCCCUCCCAGUCCCCAGCUGGGGAUCUGGGGAACAUCAGGGUUAUCCAAAAUGUGUGGGGAUUGGGCUGACUUUGGAAAACGUAUGUUUAAGCAGAGAGCCCCCCCCCCAUUUCGCUGCAACGCAGGGGAGACCACUGACAACCUACCGGCGCAUGGCCAAUGACUCCCCUCAAACAACCCCUUUAAUGGGGGACCCUGGGAUCGCCGCCACAGGGGGGGGCGUGGGUCACCGCUUCAGGGCUGCCCUCCCCCCAUUUAGGGAAGAUAGACUAAAGGAUUCUGCCCAAGGCCUGAAACCGCCAAAGUUGUGAUGUUUUGCUACGGGAAAGGGAAACCUGCCAAUGCAGGGAAAUUCCUUCCCGGUCCUUUAACAGCAACCAAUGACAUAGCAGCGCCCGCGUACCUGUGGAGAAGAGGUUUACCUGCAAAAGAAGGCAUAACUGAGGGAGGGCAGGGUGGGAGAAGCUCUGGAGCCGACCAAGGACUCCCAGGUAAGUUCCACCCUCUAUUGUGUGGGCAGGGCAGUCCCAACCUACCUGGCCAGCUUCCCUGGCAAUGCCGCCCCUCCGCUGGGAUUGGUUAACUGAGGUUAGGUGGGAACCUCCAGGUAUCCAGCGUGGGAUUGGGCAAAGCCAGGUUGUAUUUUAGGGAGCCGCAUAGGAUAUAGGGGGGCUGUGCGCGACCACGCAAAAAACACCCCCAUUUGAUGUGGGGAACGCUCAUUGCUGCUUUGCCCAAUGUGGCCUCAUUAUGGAGCAUUAUAAGAAAGGUAAAACUCAGAGGCUUAGCUGUCAGCUUUUCCCUUUUUUAAGGGAAAUUCCCUUAUUCCGAAUAGGAUUCCUCGCAAGAAAAGGGAAAGGUUGACAGCUAUGCUCAGAGGGAGGCCCAACAGGGCCUGACUCAAUUCAUGGUGCUUCCUACCAGAAAGGGGUCCACUGCAAGCCUGGGGAAUCUGUAUACUAUAACCAAAACAGCAUUAUUAUUAUUUUUAAUGGACAAAUGCACACUUAAUUCUCAGUCACAUGGAUGUGAAACUUACUCUGAUCAAGGCGUGCAGUCGCAGUGUCAAAUGCAGGCUAGCUCUUUAAAGCGAAACAUAGCAGUAGUAUGUUCAGAGUUUAUUCCCAAGCUUGCUUGUUUAUAUUUUAAUUUGAAACUCCAAGUAUUCUUUUAAAAUGUUGACUGCAACAUUUUAAUAAUUGGGAAGGAGGCUAGCUAGAUAAACACAGACCUUUUUUAAAUCGAGGAUUCCUCUCUGCCAAUGCCAAGCUGUGGAUGCACAUCGUGUCAACUGGCUGAUGAAUAGAGCCCUUGCUCUGGGUGAGGUCCAGUUGGAAAUAUUUGAGGUUUUGAAAGCCGUCCAAGUCCUGGAAGGGUUUUAUAUCUUAGUUCACUGGCAGGCUGACUUAUACUGGGAAGGGAGGUGGGGAUGGGGCAUAGUAUGACCCAGCAAUUCUGUCUCCUUGCAUUUUAAUCUUGGUGCUUUUAAAUUUUAGUUUCGUCAGCAAUGUACUUUCUCUAAAACGCUUCUGUUGUGUUUGGAAAUCCAAGCAGAAUGGAACUCCACAGCCCCUGUGCAUUUAUGCGCAUUGGCUUAACCCGAUUAUUUUGCAUGACUUUAUAUGGGAAUUUUUGACACAAUUUAUUCUGAUUUUGUUAGCCGCUGGGGAGUGAGGGAAUUGCCCUGCCUUCUGAGAAUCUUAUUUAGCAGUCUCUUGGGUUGCUGUGGUUUCCAUAGGCAUUGCUGUCACACUUUCAAGCAUACCUUCAUGAGGCCCUGGAAACUUGCUUGGGGAGGGAAAUCCCUACAAACUAUGUAAGCAGAUACUGGCUGCAUUCAGACGUAAUGACAAACCGCAAUUUAGUGUUACGUGCAGUAGUAGCAGCACCAGGAGGAGGAGGAGGAGGAGCAGGCCUCAGACUCUUGUUUUCCCCCAGGACACAAGAGGAGAAUAGAAGCUUCUGGUUCAUUCAUGAGAAACCAUAGUUUGGAAUUGCCUACAAACCAUAGCUCCUGAGCACAGAAGAAGUUUUUAAUCUCCUCCCAUCAUGCACAGAGAAAGGGGGAGGAGGGAGCGUAUACACUGCUGCUUGUGCACGUUAUGGCAAGCCAUAGUUUGCCCCAACAUCUGAAUCAUUGUCUGAAACAGAAUUCUAUGCCCAGUACUGCAGCCUGUAUUUUUUCCCACCUGUGCUUGCAUGAAAUCUUGGAUUGAUUGAUUGAUUGAUUUCAUAUGCUACUGAGAGCCAGUAUGGUGUAGUGGUUAAGAGCGGUAGUCACGUAAUCUGGGGAACCGGGUUCGCUUCCCCGCUCCUCCACCUGCAGCUGCUGGGUGACCUUGGGCCAGUCACACUUCUCUGAAGUCUCUCAGCCCCACUCACCUCACAGAGUGUUUGUUGUGGGGGAGGAAGGGAAAGGAGAAUGUUAGCCGCUUUGAGACUCCUUAAAGGGAGUGAAAGGCGGGAUAUCAAAUCCAAACUCUUCUUCUUCUUCUUCUUCUACUCAUCCGACUGGGUUGCCCCAGCCACUUUGGGUGCCUCCC
Non-coding RNA from Podarcis lilfordi (Lilford's wall lizard), 5261 nucleotides. The record is from the annotation of a GenBank genome assembly. Lineage: Eukaryota; Metazoa; Chordata; Lepidosauria; Squamata; Lacertidae.